RNAcentral lists this ribosomal RNA (465 nucleotides) under Vreelandella stevensii. RNAcentral describes it as "partial 16S ribosomal RNA". It matches the Rfam family "Bacterial small subunit ribosomal RNA", at positions 338 to 795 of the family's 1533-position model. The record is from RNAcentral. Lineage: Bacteria; Pseudomonadati; Pseudomonadota; Gammaproteobacteria; Oceanospirillales; Halomonadaceae.
CCUACGGGAGGCAGCAGUGGGGAAUAUUGGACAAUGGGGGGAACCCUGAUCCAGCCAUGCCGCGUGUGUGAAGAAGGCCCUCGGGUUGUAAAGCACUUUCAGUGAGGAAGAACGCCUGGUGGUUAAUACCCAUCAGGAAAGACAUCACUCACAGAAGAAGCACCGGCUAACUCCGUGCCAGCAGCCGCGGUAAUACGGAGGGUGCGAGCGUUAAUCGGAAUUACUGGGCGUAAAGCGCGCGUAGGUGGCUUGAUAAGCCGGUUGUGAAAGCCCCGGGCUCAACCUGGGAACGGCAUCCGGAACUGUCAAGCUAGAGUGCAGGAGAGGAAGGUAGAAUUCCCGGUGUAGCGGCGAAAUGCGUAGAGAUCGGGAGGAAUACCAGUGGCGAAGGCGGCCUUCUGGACUGACACUGACACUGAGGUGCGAAAGCGUGGGUAGCAAACAGGAUUAGAUACCCUAGUAGUC